Molecule: ribosomal RNA, 1442 nt
Filed under: Craterellus lutescens
Lineage: Eukaryota; Fungi; Basidiomycota; Agaricomycetes; Cantharellales; Hydnaceae
Description: bacterial LSU rRNA
Rfam family: Bacterial large subunit ribosomal RNA
Source: RNAcentral
GAUGCGGUGACGGAGUAGUGACACUGACGCGAACUGACGGAAUAGUUCGUUAAAGGCAGUAGGUAUAGGAUGUGUAGUUAAGUACGCACGUCUUGCUGAAUGCUGAUAGUACCGCAAACCUUCGGGGGCGUGGAUAGUUCAGGUAAUCAAACUUCCAAGAAAACCCGCUAAGCUCCAGGUUAUAAAAACCCGUACCGUAAACCGACACAGGUAGUCGAGGAGAGAAUCCUAAGGUGCUCGAGUGAAUCAUGGCUAAGGAACUCGGCAAAAUGGCCCUGUAACUUCGGGAGAAGGGGCGCUGGCAGCAAUGUCAGCCGCAGUGAAAAGGCCCAGGCGACUGUUUAACAAAAACACAUGGCUUUGCAAAAUCGAAAGAUGAAGUAUAAGGCCUGACACCUGCCCGGUGCUGGAAGGUUAAGAGGGGAUGUUAGUCGCAAGGCGAAGCAUUGAAUCGAAGCCCCAGUAAACGGCGGCCGUAACUAUAACGGUCCUAAGGUAGCGAAAUUCCUUGUCGGGUAAGUUCCGACCUGCACGAAUGGUGUAACGAUCUGGGCGCUGUCUCAGCCAUGAGCUCGGUGAAAUUGUGGUAUCGGUGAAGACGCCGGUUACCCGCAACGGGACGGAAAGACCCCAUGCACCUUCACUAUAGCUUAACAUUGAUAUCGGGUACAGGAUGUGUAGGAUAGGUGGGAGACUGUGAUCUGGCUUCGCUAGGAGUCAGUUAGUCAACGUUGAAAUACCACCCUUUCUGUAUUUGGUGUCUAACUCGGCAAUGUCGAGGACAUUGUUUGGCGGGUAGUUUGACUGGGGUGGUCGCCUCCAAAAAGGUAACGGAGGCUUUCAAAGGUAAGCUCAGUACGCUUGGUAACCGUACGCGGAGUGCAAUAGCAUAAGCUUGCUUGACUGUGAGGCAGACAAGCCGAGCAGGGUCGAAAGACGGAUAUAGUGAUCCGGUGGUUCUGUAUGGAAGGGCCAUCGCUCAAAGGAUAAAAGGUACGCUGGGGAUAACAGGCUGAUCUCCCCCAAGAGCUCAUAUCGACGGGGAGGUUUGGCACCUCGAUGUCGGCUCGUCACAUCCUGGGGCUGGAGAAGGUCCCAAGGGUUGAGCUGUUCGCUCAUUAAAGUGGCACGCGAGCUGGGUUCAGAACGUCGCGAGACAGUUCGGUCCCUAUCUGUUGUGGGCGUUGGAAGUUUGAGUGGGGCUGACCUUAGUACGAGAGGACCGGGUUGGACUAACCUCUGGUGAAUCUGUUAUGCCGCCAGGUGUACUGCAGAGUAGCUACGUUGGGAAUAGAUAAGCGCUGAAAGCAUCUAAGUGCGAAACUAGCCACGAGAUGAGACUUCCAUUGAGGGUCGUAGUAGACUACUACGUUGAUAGGUUACAGGUCUAAAGGUGGUGACAUCAUAGCCGAGUAAUACUAAUAGCCCGAAGCUUUCUUCGU